Molecule: ribosomal RNA, 442 nt
Filed under: uncultured bacterium
Lineage: Bacteria
Description: partial 16S ribosomal RNA
Rfam family: Bacterial small subunit ribosomal RNA
Source: RNAcentral
UCUACGGGAGGCUGCAGUGGGGAAUAUUGGGCAAUGGGCGCAAGCCUGACCCAGCAACGCCGCGUGAAGGAAGAAGGCUUUCGGGUUGUAAACUUCUUUUAAGAGGGAAGAGAAGAAGACGGUACCUCUUGAAUAAGCCACGGCUACAUACGUGCCAGCCGCCGCGGGAAAACGUAGGUGGCAAGCGUUUUACGGAUAUACUGGGGGUAAAGGGCGUGCAGACGGGAAGACAAGACAGAUGGGAAAUCCCGGGGCCCAACCUCGGAACUGAAUUUGAAACUGUUUUUCUUGAGUACCGGAGAGGUCAUCGGAAUGACUUGGGUAGCGGUGAAAUGCGUAGAUAUAAGGAAGAACACCAGUGGCGAAGGCGGAUGACUGGACGGCAACUGACGGUGAGGCGCGAAAGCGUGGGGAGCAAACAGGAUUAGAUACCCCAGUAGUC